GCAGUCGAACGGUGAUGUCAGAGCUUGCUCUGGCGGAUCAGUGGCGAACGGGUGAGUAACACGUGAGUAACCUGCCCCCGACUCUGGGAUAACUGCUAGAAAUGGUAGCUAAUACCGGAUAUGACGAUUGGCCGCAUGGUCUGGUCGUGGAAAGAAUUUCGGUUGGGGAUGGACUCGCGGCCUAUCAGGUUGUUGGUGAGGUAAUGGCUCACCAAGCCUACGACGGGUAGCCGGCCUGAGAGGGUGACCGGCCACACUGGGACUGAGACACGGCCCAGACUCCUACGGGAGGCAGCAGUGGGGAAUAUUGCACAAUGGGCGCAAGCCUGAUGCAGCAACGCCGCGUGAGGGAUGACGGCCUUCGGGUUGUAAACCUCUUUUAGUAGGGAAGAAGCGAAAGUGACGGUACCUGCAGAAAAAGCACCGGCUAACUACGUGCCAGCAGCCGCGGUAAUACGUAGGGUGCAAGCGUUGUCCGGAAUUAUUGGGCGUAAAGAGCUCGUAGGCGGUUUGUCGCGUCUGCUGUGAAAUCCCGAGGCUCAACCUCGGGUCUGCAGUGGGUACGGGCAGACUAGAGUGCGGUAGGGGGAGAUUGGAAUUCCUGGUGUAGCGGUGGAAUGCGCAGAUAUCAGGAGGAACACCGAUGGCGGAAGGCAGAUCUCUGGGCCGUAACUGACGCUGAGGAGCGAAAGCAUGGGGAGCGAACANGGAUUAGAUACCCUGGUAGUCCAUGCCGUAAACGUUGGGAACUAGAUGUGGGGACCAUUCCACGGUCUCCGUGUCGCAGCUAACGCAUUAAGUUCCCCGCCUGGGGAGUACGGCCGCAAGGCUAAAACUCAAAGGAAUUGACGGGGGCCCGCACAAGCGGCGGAGCAUGCGGAUUAAUUCGAUGCAACGCGAAGAACCUUACCAAGGCUUGACAUAUACCGGAAACAUGCAGAGAUGUGUGCCCCGCAAGGUCGGUAUACAGGUGGUGCAUGGUUGUCGUCAGCUCGUGUCGUGAGAUGUUGGGUUAAGUCCCGCAACGAGCGCAACCCUCGUUCUAUGUUGCCAGCACGUAAUGGUGGGAACUCAUAGGAGACUGCCGGGGUCAACUCGGAGGAAGGUGGGGAUGACGUCAAAUCAUCAUGCCCCUUAUGUCUUGGGCUUCACGCAUGCUACAAUGGCCGGUACAAAGGGCUGCGAUACCGUAAGGUGGAGCGAAUCCCAAAAAGCCGGUCUCAGUUCGGAUUGAGGUCUGCAACUCGACCUCAUGAAGUCGGAGUCGCUAGUAAUCGCAGAUCAGCAACGCUGCGGUGAAUACGUUCCCGGGCCUUGUACACACCGCCCGUCAAGUCAUGAAAGUCGGUAACACCCGAAGCCAGUGGCCUAACCGCAAGGGAGGAGC
This 1387-nucleotide ribosomal RNA is filed under the name Microbacteriaceae bacterium HP9P2. RNAcentral's name for it is "bacterial SSU rRNA". It matches the Rfam family "Bacterial small subunit ribosomal RNA". The record is from RNAcentral. Lineage: Bacteria; Bacillati; Actinomycetota; Actinomycetes; Micrococcales; Microbacteriaceae.